UUUAGAAAGCAGCUAUGCAGAUCACUCAAGGAAUGCUGAGACACAAAUUGGAAUUCAUACGCUGUGGGGAAAGUAACAACCUCCAAUGUUGAAAAUAAAUAAGAAGAUACUGAUAAUAAAAGCAGCCAUGCAGAUCACUCAAGGAAUGCUGAGACACCAAUUGGAAUUCAUAAGCUAUGGGGAAACUAACAACCUCCAAUGUUGAAAAUAAAUAAGAAGAUACUGUUAAUAAAAGCAGCCAUGCAGAUCACUCAAGGAAUGCUGAGACACAAAUUGGAAUUCAUACGCUGUGGGGAAAAUAACAACCUCCAAUGUUGAAAAUAAAUAAGAAGAUACUGAUAAUA
Rhopalosiphum maidis (corn leaf aphid) is the source of this 344-nucleotide long non-coding RNA. RefSeq lists it as uncharacterized. The record is from RefSeq and is a predicted model, not a curated record. The transcript is spliced from 3 exons. Lineage: Eukaryota; Metazoa; Arthropoda; Insecta; Hemiptera; Aphididae.